GUUUCUCUCUGCCGAGGUCUAACUUGAAUUUACAAUUGGCAUCGUAGUGUAUGUCCACGUUGUAGAGACGGCGUGAGCCAUCCGGUCGACGCAGCAUCUGUCCACCUAAUCGCUAGAAAUUUUAAUUCGUGGCGCGCCGAGCGGAGCAUUAGCUUUUGAAAUCGCGAUGUGUUACGCAGCGAGGGAGAUUUUGCUCGUGCACGAUGGCGAAUCGAUGGCGAGUCGGAUUGCUGCUGGAAACAACGUGGAUCGAGCUCUGGAUGUGAACGAAAGCGGAUGCAGAGGCCUGGACCAAACCGCGGUGGCGGCGCGACCAAGCGGCGCGCGUCGUUUCGUCAGUUGCGACGCGAGAUUCUUCUCGCCAGUAUGUUACAGACAUUCUUUGAGAUAAAAGCAACGAGAGGAAGCCAACACCUAAAUUGUCGCCGAUUGUCAAUAAAGUAAACGAACCGUAGCCGGUUCGUCGCGUCGCGCGUUUAUUCCGGGAGUGCCGUUUAAGUUAUCAGACUAAUAGACUUUUCAUAACUCCCAUUCGAUAGAAUCCUAAUUCGAGGGCCGGGAAUCGCACCCCCGCUGCUUGGCAGUGGAUAUCUUCUCUCUGGGGCGUUGCGUAUGGUGGCUAAGAAAGACGGCGCACCGCGACGUUCCAUGCCGAGUGCCCGUGCACGAGGUAAUGCCGGGCCGCGUGUACGACAUGCCCCGUGUGCAUGUUGCGCGGCUGUCUGGUUGUGUGAGGUUACACGCUCUGUCUCUGACGAUCGGUUCGGUCCUAAGCGGUAAGAGUUCGGAUCAGUUGCCUUGGAUUUGCACGUUUCUCUUGCUCUCGUCCACCAUCCUAAGGCUUUCUUAGAUUCUUGAUACCCUUUUUGGAUUCUUUGGAUUUGAGGUUCGAGCUAGGUGAAUGACAUUUAAUCUGACUUGGUCAGAACUUGGCCUUGUAGGUUAAGCUUGUGACGAGAGGCUGGCUCUCAUUUCCUGAUUCGUCUAAAAUGCUAGACGUCGGCAAUGAGUACCUUCUUCUCUCGUCCUGCCGGAGUGUCUUGUCGACGCCGCUUGGAUAUAAGAUCCAGUGGGACUGAUCUCGAUGAUCCGUUGGCUGGGCGUAUGAACGAGUCAAUUUUAGACGUGAUUUUUGUGAGACAAGAGGCUUCGGAUUCAAUGCUAUUGAUUUCGUUUUCUUCCGCGUGGGGCUUACCUUUUUUCGGGGGCGGGUACGCGUGCGUCCUACUCGCCGACUCGGGGUGCUGAAUCCAUGGGAAUCCUUCUGAAUGGGAACUCAUAUCAUGGGUUUUAUAAACUCAAAGUAUCGCAGUGUGUUCGCGCGAAAGACUUAUAAAUAUAUUUAAUUAGUCCACGGGCGCAAUUUUAGUGUUUAACGCGAGUGUUCCGCGAGUGUUUUACAAGUGCAACGACAGGAGGAGGCUUGACAAUCUGAGAGGAGGAGGAGGCCUGGGAGGCAGCGGGCGAUGGCUGAACAACCUUGGGGUAAGUAAUAUAAUUGCGAAAAGUAUCACCACAUAUGCCUCCGUGGUUGGUUGAGUUGGUUGAGUGGUCAAAGUGGCACUCGUCCAGAAAAAUCUGGAGGUCCCAUGUUCGAUGUCUGGUAGACGUGUUAUUUUUUGUAACAAGUUCCUUACAGCUGUUAAGGGAAAAGGUUUCUUAUUGAUUUUAUUGACAUGUUAAAUGCUUGUUAGCAUCGUUUACUAUUAAAUUGACUUUCAAUGUAAUAAUAAUGUGAUAUUACUAUGUCUUAUUUAAAACUUAAAAUUGUAUUUGAAGACCGAAAAUUUAUUUGGCGCGUACUUUCAUAAACUGAAAAAAUGUAUAUAAAUAUCAGUACAAAAAUCUAGCUAUUACUAUUAGAUUCCUCAUUUAUUUAUAUUUGAAAAUAGUACAAUUUAUUAUAUAUUAUUUAGAUUUUUACUAAUCAUUUAUUCCCAUUUACUUGCUGAUUCCUGAGAGAGACAUUGCUAUUUUGAAUUUUUAUUUUUAAGUAAAUUGACUUAUUAACUUAUC
Molecule: long non-coding RNA, 2016 nt
Organism: Solenopsis invicta (red fire ant)
Lineage: Eukaryota; Metazoa; Arthropoda; Insecta; Hymenoptera; Formicidae
Exons: 4
Source: RefSeq, a predicted model, not a curated record